Molecule: ribosomal RNA, 421 nt
Filed under: uncultured bacterium
Lineage: Bacteria
Description: partial 16S ribosomal RNA
Rfam family: Bacterial small subunit ribosomal RNA
Source: RNAcentral
AAUAUUGGACAAUGGGGGCAACCCUGAUCCAGCCAUGUCGCGUGUGUGAUGAAGUUGUUCUGAUUGUAAAGCACUUUAAGUUGUGAGGUAGGGCUUUAGGUUAAUAUUUUUUAGUUUUGUUGGUACCAACAGAGUAAGCACUGGCUAUCUGUGUGCUAGCAGCCUCGGUAAUACAGAGGGUGCAAGCGUUAAUCGGAAUUACUGGGCGUAAAGCGCGCGUAGGUGGUUCAGUAAGAUGGGUGUGAAAUCACCGGGCUUAACCUGGGAACUGCUUUCAUAACUGCUGAGCUAGAGUACGGUAGAGGGUAGUGGAAUUUCCUGUGUAGCGGUGAAAUGCGUAGAUAUAGGAAGGAACACCAGUGGCGAAGGCGACUACCUGGACUGAUACUGACACUGAGGUGCGAAAGCGUGGGGAGCAAAC